AUUUUCUUUAUUCUGGCGAAUUCACUGAUCCCACCGUCUAUACUUUUGUGCUACUUCAACCAUCACGACAUGUUAGGAUAGAGAAACCUUUUUGAAGGAUUACAAAGGGGACACGCUUUAUUUCUUGUCCAGCAUUGAAUCUGAAUAUUCUCCCAAACGUUGACUAGAUUGAUGCCACGUCGCGCUCCGAUUUUGUACACCCC
This 203-nucleotide long non-coding RNA is filed under the name Vigna radiata. RNAcentral's name for it is "long non-coding RNA (VRAD_LNC010891)". The record is from RNAcentral. Lineage: Eukaryota; Viridiplantae; Streptophyta; Magnoliopsida; Fabales; Fabaceae.